Molecule: ribosomal RNA, 497 nt
Filed under: uncultured bacterium
Lineage: Bacteria
Description: partial 16S ribosomal RNA
Rfam family: Bacterial small subunit ribosomal RNA
Source: RNAcentral
GAUGAACGCUGGCGGCGUGCCUAAUACAUGCAAGUCGAGCGAACAGACGAGGAGCUUGCUCCUCUGACGUUAGCGGCGGACGGGUGAGUAACACGUGGAUAACCUACCUAUCAGACUGGGAUCACUUCGGGACACCGGCGAUUACACCGGAGAAUAUCUUGCACCGCAUUGUUCGAUGGUGAAAGACGGUUUUGGUGGCUCGUCUAGCUGGUUCCGGGCCGCAUGAGCUAGUUGUUAAGGUCACAGCUUACCAAGGCGACGAUGCGUAGCCGACGUGAGAGGGGGAUAGGCGACAUUGGAACGGAGACACGGACAAGGCUCCUACGGGAGGCAGCAGUAGGGAAUCUUCCGCAGUGGGCGAAAGCCUGACGGAGCAACCCCGCGUGAGUGAUGAAGGCCUUCGGAUCGGAAAACCCGGUUAUGAGGGAAGAACAAAUGUGGAAGGAACUAUGCACGGCUUGACGGUACCUAAUCAGAAAGCCCCGGCUAACUACGUG